AACGCGAAGAACCUUACCCAGGCUCGAAAUGUAAUGGACAGUACCAGAAAUGGUAUGUUCCGCAAGGACUGUUAUAUAGGUGCUGCAUGGCUGUCGUCAGCUCGUGCCGUGAGGUGUUUGGUUAAGUCCAGCAACGAGCGCAACCCUUAUCAUUAGUUGCCAACACGCGAGGUGGGGACUCUAAUGAGACUGCCUGGGUUAACCAGGAGGAAGGUGAGGAUGACGUCAAGUCCGCAUGGCCUUUAUGUCUGGGGCUACACACGUGCUACAAUGGUCGGUACAGAAGGCAGCAAGACCGCAAGGUGGAGCAAAUCCGUAAAGCCGAUCACAGUUCAGAUUGUAGUCUGCAACUCGACUACAUGAAGUUGGAAUUGCUAGUAAUGACGAGUCAGCAACAUCGUCGUGAAUACGUUCCCGGGCCUUGUA
This 426-nucleotide ribosomal RNA is filed under the name uncultured Chlamydiae bacterium. RNAcentral's name for it is "bacterial SSU rRNA". It matches the Rfam family "Bacterial small subunit ribosomal RNA", at positions 958 to 1385 of the family's 1533-position model. Lineage: Bacteria; Pseudomonadati; Chlamydiota; Chlamydiia. The record is from RNAcentral.